ACCAAUUGUUGCCUCGGCGGAUCAGCCCGCUCCCGGUAAAACGGGACGGCCCGCCAGAGGACCCUUAAACUCUGUUUCUAUAUGUAACUUCUGAGUAAAACCAUAAAUAAAUCAAAACUUUCAACAACGGAUCUCUUGGUUCUGGCAUCGAUGAAGAACGCAGCAAAAUGCGAUAAGUAAUGUGAAUUGCAGAAUUCAGUGAAUCAUCGAAUCUUUGAACGCACAUUGCGCCCGCCAGUAUUCUGGCGGGCAUGCCUGUUCGAGCGUCAUUUCAACCCUCAAGCCCAGCUUGGUGUUGGGACUCGCGAGUUAAACCGCGUUCCCCAAAUUGAUUGGCGGUCACGUCGAGCUUCCAUAGCGUAGUAGUAAAACCCUCGUUACUGGUAAUCGUCGCGGCCACGCCGUUAAACCCCAACUUCUGAAUGUUGACCUCGGAUCAGGUAGGAAUACCCGCUGAACUUAAGCAUAUCAAUA
This 474-nucleotide ribosomal RNA is filed under the name Fusarium proliferatum. RNAcentral describes it as "eukaryotic LSU rRNA". The stretch from base 116 to 269 matches the Rfam family "5.8S ribosomal RNA". Lineage: Eukaryota; Fungi; Ascomycota; Sordariomycetes; Hypocreales; Nectriaceae. The record is from RNAcentral.